AGGGGUGUAGCUCAGUGGUAGAGCACUUGCCUAGCAUACAUGCACACCCCUG
RNAcentral lists this transfer RNA (52 nucleotides) under Neotoma lepida (desert woodrat). Lineage: Eukaryota; Metazoa; Chordata; Mammalia; Rodentia; Cricetidae. The record is from Rfam by way of RNAcentral.